Molecule: transfer RNA, 73 nt
Filed under: Faecalibacterium sp. CAG:1138
Lineage: Bacteria; Bacillati; Bacillota; Clostridia; Eubacteriales; Oscillospiraceae
Also listed under: 4 other names
Rfam family: tRNA
About the family: Transfer RNA (tRNA) molecules are approximately 80 nucleotides in length. Their secondary structure includes four short double-helical elements and three loops (D, anti-codon, and T loops). Further hydrogen bonds mediate the characteristic L-shaped molecular structure. tRNAs have two regions of fundamental functional importance: the anti-codon, which is responsible for specific mRNA codon recognition, and the 3' end, to which the tRNAs corresponding amino acid is attached (by aminoacyl-tRNA synthetases). tRNAs cope with the degeneracy of the genetic code in two manners: having more than one tRNA (with a specific anti-codon) for a particular amino acid; and 'wobble' base-pairing, i.e. permitting non-standard base-pairing at the 3rd anti-codon position.
Source: Rfam by way of RNAcentral
GCACCAUUAGCUCAGUUGGUAGAGCAACUGACUCUUAAUCAGUGGGUCCCGGGUUCGAGUCCCUGAUGGUGCA